GAGAUUCCCGAGUACUUGACCGGUGAAGUUCCUGGAGAGUAAGAUACGCUUUCGUUCACUCACAAAACAGCUUUCUAAUUCAUUGUUUCAACCAUGAAAUCCUGGUUUUGUUUCUAAUUUUCAAUCUUUCAUGGCUAUGCAGUUACGGGUAUGAUCCUUUUGGGCUCAGCAAGAAGCCAGAAGAUUUCAGCAAGUACGUUAAUAUUUAUAACUGAUAUAUAUAUAUAUAUAUAUAUUACACACACACACACAUAUGCAUAUAUAGACGCAGACAUAUAGACCACUAUACAUAUGUAUAUUAGUUUUUGUCUGUGUCAUCCUGGUGAAACAAUGGUGGUUUGAACGCAGAUACCAAGCAUACGAGUUGAUCCACGCGAGAUGGGCAAUGUUAGGUGCAGCCGGCUUCAUCAUCCCGGAAGCCUUCAACAAAUUUGGUGCCAACUGUGGGCCUGAAGCCGUUUGGUUCAAGGUUAGUCUUUUGCUUUACAUAAAUACUUUCAAUUUGGUUAAAUUCCCACACUAGAGCUAUAUAUUUCAAACAAAUUUAGAAUUUUUGUUGAAUAUAUGUAGAAUAAUACUUUUGAAAUUAUAUGUUAAAAUUUGAAUUUAUAUGAAAUUGCACGAGACUUUUUUUGUUUAAGUUCUAAAAUAAUUGGCUGUAAUCAAUUGUUUAAUAAAUUCUUACACGUCGAUUGAUAUCAGCUACUUAACUAGAAAUGAAAUGGGAAUUUAAUCAAACUGGCUGUUUGUUUCUUCUCUGUUCACAUGCAUUCAUUAUAUACAUAUGGAUAUGAAUAAAUAAUGCAGACUGGAGCUUUGCUGCUUGACGGCAACACAUUGAACUACUUCGGAAAGAACAUUCCCAUCAACCUGAUCGUUGCGGUCAUUGCUGAAAUCGUUCUUGUUGGCGGUGCUGAAUACUACAGAAUCAUCAAUGGCUUGGUAUGUAUAAUCUCAUUACAUAUAUAUAUAUAUAUAUAAUUUUCUGUGUUCUAAUUUCAUGAUUAGCAACUGAACCCAGAUAGAUCAAUUAAUUGAUUGUUUUGUGUUUGAAAUUCCAGGACUUGGAGGACAAGCUGCACCCAGGUGGUCCAUUUGACCCACUGGGAUUAGCCAAGGACCCAGACCAGGCUGCACUGCUCAAGGUGAAGGAAAUAAAAAAUGGCAGACUGGCAAUGUUCGCCAUGCUUGGUUUCUACUUCCAAGCCUACGUUACCGGAGAGGGUCCAGUGGAGAACCUUGCCAAACAUCUCAGCGAUCCCUUCGGCAACAACUUGCUCACUGUCCUCGCCGGAUCCGCCGAAAGAGCUCCAACCCUCUGAUUAAAAAACAUGAAUGAUCUAAUUCACUUUACUAGCGCCUGUAUCCUGGAUCCAAGAUACUCAAUCCUCUAAUGCAUUAAAAUUGUACAUCA
Molecule: long non-coding RNA, 1414 nt
Filed under: Carica papaya (papaya)
Lineage: Eukaryota; Viridiplantae; Streptophyta; Magnoliopsida; Brassicales; Caricaceae
Description: long non-coding RNA (CPAP_LNC011162)
Source: RNAcentral